This 502-nucleotide ribosomal RNA is filed under the name uncultured Glomeromycotina. RNAcentral's name for it is "partial small subunit ribosomal RNA". It matches the Rfam family "Eukaryotic small subunit ribosomal RNA", at positions 591 to 1092 of the family's 1831-position model. The record is from RNAcentral. Lineage: Eukaryota; Fungi; Glomeromycota.
CCAAUAGCGUAUAUUAAAGUUGUUGCAGUUAAAAAGCUCGUAGUCGAAUUUCGGGGUCUGUCCGUUGGUCGGGCUUUCGGGUCCGUACUGGCGUUAUGGAUUCCUACCUUCUGAAUAACCGGCAUGCCAUUAAUUUGGUGCGCUGGGGAAGCAGGACUGUUACCUUGAAAAAAUUAGAGUGCUUAAAGCAGGCUAUUGCCUGAAUACAUUAGCAUGGAAUAAUGAAAUAGGACGGCAUGGUUCUAUUUUGUUGGUUUCUAGGAUCACCGUAAUGAUUAAUAGGGAUAGUUGGGGGCAUUAGUAUUCAAUUGUCAGAGGUGAAAUUCUUGGAUUUAUUGAAGACUAACUUCUGCGAAAGCAUUUGCCAAGGACGUUUUCAUUAAUCAAGAACGAGAGUUAGGGGAUCGAAGACGAUCAGAUACCGUCGUAGUCUUAACCAUAAACUAUGCCGACUAGGGAUCGGACGAUGUUAAUUUUUUAAUGACUCGUUCGGCGCCUUACG